RNAcentral lists this ribosomal RNA (484 nucleotides) under uncultured bacterium. RNAcentral's name for it is "partial 16S ribosomal RNA". It matches the Rfam family "Bacterial small subunit ribosomal RNA", at positions 30 to 507 of the family's 1533-position model. The record is from RNAcentral.
AUUGAACGCUGGCGGAAUGCUUUACACAUGCAAGUCGAACGGCAGCACGGGGGCAACCCUGGUGGCGAGUGGCGAACGGGUGAGUAAUACAUCGGAACGUGCCCGGUCGUGGGGGAUAACGUAGCGAAAGUUACGCUAAUACCGCAUACGAUCUGAGGAUGAAAGCGGGGGACCUUCGGGCCUCGCGCGAUCGGAGCGGCCGAUGUCAGAUUAGGUAGUUGGUGGGGUAAAGGCCUACCAAGCCGACGAUCUAUAGCUGGUCUGAGAGGACGACCAGCCACACUGGGACUGAGACACGGCCCAGACUCCUACGGGAGGCAGCAGUGGGGAAUUUUGGACAAUGGGCGCAAGCCUGAUCCAGCCAUUCCGCGUGCAGGACGAAGGCCUUCGGGUUGUAAACUGCUUUUGUAUGGAACGAAAAGGCUCUGGCUAAUACCUGGGGCUCAUGACGGUACCGUAAGAAUAAGCACCGGCUAACUACGUG